UGAUGGUCAUGCUAAUGAUUGACUAAUCUAAUCAUCUUGUGGAUAUGAUAUGGUAGUUUGACUCUGACAAGCUAGGUAGGAGCUUGGAAAUGAACGGGUCAAAUGGAUACAAGUUCAAGUAUGAAGCUCGCAAGGAUGCAAGGUACAUUUUGAUGCCGGAAGACGAUCAAGCUCAACGAAGAACCGAAGACGAUAAAGAUACAUGCUUUCGCAAGUUGUCGCCGUUUUACAUUUCAAACGAAGAAUUUAAUUACACUAAGUUGUUCUACUUUCAAGUCUAGAAAAGUUUUAAUAAACCCGUAUUUGAGCAAGAAUGUUUAAAUCUAAAUACUCAUUUAAUUUGUAAUUAUAA
This is a long non-coding RNA of Helianthus annuus (common sunflower), 352 nucleotides long. RefSeq lists it as uncharacterized. The transcript has 2 exons. NCBI's taxonomy places the organism in Eukaryota, Viridiplantae, Streptophyta, Magnoliopsida, Asterales, Asteraceae. The record is from RefSeq and is a predicted model, not a curated record.